This 501-nucleotide ribosomal RNA is filed under the name uncultured bacterium. RNAcentral's name for it is "partial 16S ribosomal RNA". It matches the Rfam family "Bacterial small subunit ribosomal RNA", at positions 29 to 523 of the family's 1533-position model. The record is from RNAcentral.
AUUGAACGCUGGCGGCAUGCCUUACACAUGCAAGUCGAACGGCAGCACGGGUGCUUGCACCUGGUGGCGAGUGGCGGACGGGUGAGUAAUACAUCGGAACGUACCUUAUCGUGGGGGAUAACGCAGCGAAAGCUGUGCUAAUACCGCAUACGCCCUGAGGGGGAAAGCGGGGGAUCGAAAGACCUCGCGCGACGAGAGCGGCCGAUGCCGGAUUAGCUUGUUGGUGGGGUAAAAGCCCACCAAGGCGACGCACAGUAGCUGGUCUGGGAGGACGAUCAGCCACACUGGGACUGAGACACGGCCCAGACUCCUACGGGAGGCAGCAGUGGGGAAUUUUGGACAAUGGGGGCAACCCUGAUCCAGCAAAGCCGCGUGAGUGAAGAAGGCCUUCGGGUUGUAAAGCUCUUUUGUCAGGGAAGAAACACCGGCUCUAACACAGUCCGGGAAUGACGGUACCUGAAGAAUAAGCACCGGCUAACUACGUGCCAGCAGCCGCCGUAA